Molecule: ribosomal RNA, 497 nt
Filed under: uncultured bacterium
Lineage: Bacteria
Description: partial 16S ribosomal RNA
Rfam family: Bacterial small subunit ribosomal RNA
Source: RNAcentral
GAUGAACGCUGGCGGCGUGCCUAAUACAUGCAAGUCGAGCGAACGGACGAGAAGCUUUCUUCUCUGAUGUUAGCGGCGGACGGGUGAGUAACACGUGGAUAACCUACCUAUAAGACUGGGAUAACUUCGGGAAACCGUAGCUAAUACCGGAUAAUAUUUUGAACCGCAUGGUUCAAACGUUAAAGACGGUCUUGCUUUCACUUAUAGAUUGACCCGCGCAGCAUUAGCUAGUUGGUAAGGUAACGGCUUACCAAGGCAACUAUGCAUAGCCGACCUGAGAGGGUGAUCGGACACCCUGGAUGUGAGACACAGUCCAGACUCCUACGGGAGGAAACAGUAGGGAAUCUUCCGCAAUGAGCGAAUGCCUAACGGUGCAACGCCGCGGAAGUGAUGAAGGACUUCGGAUCGUAAAACUCUGUUAUUAGGGAAGAACAUAUGUGUAAGUAACUGUGAACAUAUUGACAGUACCUAAUCAAAAAGCCCCGGCUAACUACGUG